AUUGAACGCUGGCGGCAGGCCUAACACAUGCAAGUCGAGCGGAGCGGCGGACGGGUGAGUAAUGCCUAGGAAUCUGCCUGGUAGUGGGGGAUAACGUCCGGAAACGGGCGCUAAUACCGCAUACUAUCAGAUGAGCCUAAGUCGGAUUAGCUAGUUGGUGGGGUAAAGGCCUACCAAGGCGACGCUCCGUAACUGGUCUGAGAGGAGGAACAGUCACACGUGAACUGAGACACGGUCCAGACUCCUACGGGAGGCAGCAGUGGGGAAUAUUGGACAAUGGGCGAAAGCCUGAUCCAGCCAUGCCGCGUGUGUGAAGAAGGUCUUCGGAUUGUAAAGCUCUUUAAGUUGGGAGGCGUUACCAACAGAAUAAGCACCGGCUAACUUCGUGCCAGCAGCCGCGGUAAUUC
RNAcentral lists this ribosomal RNA (407 nucleotides) under uncultured bacterium. RNAcentral's name for it is "partial 16S ribosomal RNA". It matches the Rfam family "Bacterial small subunit ribosomal RNA", at positions 30 to 526 of the family's 1533-position model. The record is from RNAcentral.